GAAGGCUUUAGCUUAAUAAAAGUAUCUGAGUUGCAUUUAGAAGCUGCGAUUUAGUUUUCGCAAGUCUUA
Molecule: transfer RNA, 69 nt
Filed under: Anolis imias
Lineage: Eukaryota; Metazoa; Chordata; Lepidosauria; Squamata; Anolidae
Description: tRNA-Ala
Source: RNAcentral